CCUACGGGUGGCAGCAGUGAGGAAUAUUGGUCAAUGGACGAGAGUCUGAACCAGCCAAGCCGCGUGAAGGAUGACUGCCUUAUGGGUUGUAACCUUCUUUUAUAUGGGAAUAAAAUGUUCUACGUGUGGGAGUUUGUAUGUACCACUUGAUUAAGGACCGGUUAAUUCUGUGCAAGCAGCCGCGGUAAUCCGGAGGAUCCGGGCGUUAGCGGGAUUUAUUGGGUUUAAAGGGUGCGUAGAUGGCUGGUUAAGUCAGUUGUGAAAGGUUGCGGCUCAACUGUAGAAUUGCAGUGGAAACUGGCCGGCUGGAGUACAGGAGAGGUGAGCGGAAUGCGUGGUGUAGCGGUGAAAUGCAUAGAUAUCACGAAGAACUCCGAUUGCGAAGGCAGUUCACUGGACUGCAACUGACGCUGAGGCUCGAAAGUGUGGGUAUCAAACAGGAUUAGAUACCCGAGUAGUC
RNAcentral lists this ribosomal RNA (460 nucleotides) under uncultured bacterium. RNAcentral describes it as "partial 16S ribosomal RNA". It matches the Rfam family "Bacterial small subunit ribosomal RNA", at positions 338 to 795 of the family's 1533-position model. The record is from RNAcentral.